This 481-nucleotide ribosomal RNA is filed under the name uncultured bacterium. RNAcentral's name for it is "partial 16S ribosomal RNA". It matches the Rfam family "Bacterial small subunit ribosomal RNA", at positions 28 to 523 of the family's 1533-position model. The record is from RNAcentral.
GACGAACGCUGGCGGCGUGCUUAACACAUGCAAGUCGAGCGGAAAGGCCACUUCGGUGGUACUCGAGCGGCGAACGGGUGAGUAACACGUGAGUAAUCUGCCCCUGGCUUUGGGAUAGCCACCGGAAACGGUGAUUAAUACCGGAUACGACCACUUCUCGCAUGGGAUGGUGGUGGAAAGUUUUUUCGGCCAGGGAUGUGCUCGCGGCCUAUCAGCUUGAUGGUGAGGUAAUGGCUCACCAUGGCUUCGACGGGUAGCCGGCCUGAGAGGGUAACCGGUCACACUGGGACUGAGACACGGCCCAGACUCCGACGGGAGGCAGCAGUGGGGAAUAUUGGACAAUGGGCGGAAGCCUGAUCCAGCAACGCCGCGUGAGGGAUGACGGCCUUCGGGUUGUAAACCUCUUUCAGCAGGGACGAAGCGCAAGUGACGGUACCUGCAGAAGAAGCACUGGCCAACUACGUGCCAGCCGCCGCCGUAA